AUUGAACGCUGGCGGCAUGCCUUACACAUGCAAGUCGAACGGCAGCGCGGGGGCAACCCUGGCGGCGAGUGGCGAACGGGUGAGUAAUAUAUCGGAACGUACCCAAGAGUGGGGGAUAACGUAGCGAAAGUUACGCUAAUACCGCAUACGAUCUAAGGAUGAAAGCAGGGGACCGCAAGGCCUUGUGCUCCUGGAGCGGCCGAUAUCUGAUUAGCUAGUUGGUGGGGUAAAGGCCUACCAAGGCAUCGAUCAGUAGCUGGUCUGAGAGGACGACCAGCCACACUGGGACUGAGACACGGCCCAGACUCCUACGGGAGGCAGCAGUGGGAAUUUUGGACAAUGGGGGCAACCCUGAUCCAGCAAUGCCGCGUGAGUGAAGAAGGCCUCGGUUGUAA
RNAcentral lists this ribosomal RNA (395 nucleotides) under uncultured bacterium. RNAcentral's name for it is "bacterial SSU rRNA". It matches the Rfam family "Bacterial small subunit ribosomal RNA", at positions 30 to 428 of the family's 1533-position model. The record is from RNAcentral.